GACGAACGCUGGCGGCGUGCUUAACACAUGCAAGUCGAACGCUGAAGCUCAGCUUUUGUUGGGUGGAUGAGUGGCGAACGGGUGAGUAACACGUGAGUAACCUGCCUCCUUCUUUGGGAUAACGCCCGGAAACGGGUGCUAAUACUGGAUAUUCACUGGUCUUCGCAUGGGGGUUGGUGGAAAGGGUUUUUCUGGUGGGGGAUGGGCUCGCGGCCUAUCAGCUUGUUGGUGGGGUGAUGGCCUACCAAGGCUUUGACGGGUAGCCGGCCUGAGAGGGUGACCGGUCACAUUGGGACUGAGAUACGGCCCAGACUCCUACGGGAGGCAGCAGUGGGGAAUAUUGCACAAUGGGCGCAAGCCUGAUGCAGCGACGCCGCGUGAGGGAUGGAGGCCUUCGGGUUGUGAACCUCUUUCGCUCAUGGUCAAGCCGCAACAAUGGUUGUGGAGAGGGUAGUGGGUAAAGAAGCGCCGGCUAACUACGUG
Molecule: ribosomal RNA, 483 nt
Filed under: uncultured bacterium
Lineage: Bacteria
Description: partial 16S ribosomal RNA
Rfam family: Bacterial small subunit ribosomal RNA
Source: RNAcentral